UACGUAGGUGGCAAGCGUUGUCCGGAUUGACUGGGCGUAAAGCGCGCGUAGGCGGACCUGCAAGUCGGGGGUGAAAGCCCGAGGCUCAACCUCGGAACUGCCUUCGAUACUGCGGGUCUCGAGUCCGGGAGAGGUGAGUGGAAUUCCUAGUGUAGAGGUGAAAUUCGUAGAUAUUAGGAAGAACACCAGUGGCGAAGGCGGCUCACUGGCCCGGUACUGACGCUGAGGCGCGAAAGCGUGGGGAGCAAACAGG
This 253-nucleotide ribosomal RNA is filed under the name uncultured bacterium. RNAcentral describes it as "partial 16S ribosomal RNA". It matches the Rfam family "Bacterial small subunit ribosomal RNA", at positions 524 to 776 of the family's 1533-position model. The record is from RNAcentral.